RNAcentral lists this ribosomal RNA (255 nucleotides) under Klebsiella pneumoniae. RNAcentral describes it as "partial 23S ribosomal RNA". It matches the Rfam family "Bacterial large subunit ribosomal RNA", at positions 1443 to 1701 of the family's 2925-position model. Lineage: Bacteria; Pseudomonadati; Pseudomonadota; Gammaproteobacteria; Enterobacterales; Enterobacteriaceae. The record is from RNAcentral.
CUUGGUGUUACUGCGAAGGGGGGACGGAGAAGGCUAUGUUAGCCGGGCGACGGUUGUCCCGGUUUAAGCAUGUAGGCUGGUUGUCCAGGCAAAUCCGGAUAAUCAAGGCUGAGGUGUGAUGACGAGGUACUACGGUGCUGAAGUAACAAAUGCCCUGCUUCCAGGAAAAGCCUCUAAGCAUCAGGUAACAUUAAAUCGUACCCCAAACCGACACAGGUGGUCAGGUAGAGAAUACCAAGGCGCUUGAGAGAACUC